UAGUGUUUAACCUCUCCAUGCAUAACAUCCACAUGAUAAAGGGGUGUUUUAAGAACUUUUAUAAACCAUACUAGGAUGAUGCCAAGCCACUUCAGCUGCAGGAUAUCUCAGCAGAGAUCAAUUAUAAACUUGACAGAGAAGAUGUCAAAGCUGCAAGAUCAAUUCAAAUUCUGUAUAAGAUCCUCAACAGCUGCAUUGCUUCUCCUCUCUACUAAGGCAUUCCAUUCACCAAGCAUUGCCAAUAAUUGAGGAGACUUUAGCUUGAAGAGAGGCUACCAAACUGUCUUGAGAUGUGCCAAAUCAUAAUAAGACAGUAAGGGUCCUGUUGACUGUUGGUUGUCAAACCAAAGAUAAGUUUCCUCACCACUGCCAAUUACUGAAAAGAUAUAUGGUUGCAUAACCGGUCUAAGCUUGAGGAGCUUUUAUCAAAACCAAGAGCAAUCACUAGGUGUUGGCACAACCCAAGAAGAAAUGACGCUUAAGCUUAACAACAUGAACACAUGCUAUUCAUAGACAGUCUUUCUUUAGUGCAAUGGCCUAGAUAUAUUUAAAGCAAAGCUCUUUGUCAUACUUCUGAGCUGGUCAAGCCCAAUCCACCAUAUUCAGAAGGCUUACUCAUUUCCUUCCAACAUACUCUGAUUCCUGUUACCUGAAUCAAAGCCUUUUCAGAGAAAUACAAUCGGCAUAUCUUCAAACUCAAUAACACUUAAAUUAACCGUAACAUACCAGCAUAAGUCCAUAUUUAGAACUCCAACCAUAAAUCCUUUUCUGAAUCUUUCCUAACAAGACUAGAUAAUCAGAAAAAGAUAAUCCGGUGCUGAUCAAAGGGGCACCUAGAUAUCUGACAGGAAGGCACCCUUCCCCAUCCCCAGCUCAUGCAAAGCUUCACUGGUAAGUCUUUACUUACAUCUGCAACGGAAACCUCACUUUUGUCCUAAGUUAGGAGAAAGCCCUGAAAGGACAGCGAACUUCCAUGGUACUAAGUUCAUAAUAGCCACAGAAUCAGUAGCAGCAGUAGAUACAAGAAGUAGAUCAUGUGCAAAAAUCUGUGAGGAAUUCCAAGAGGUUGAUACAUACUUGAGGUGAUACUGGAACUCAGGUCUUUAAGCAGCUUUAAUCCAAC
Molecule: long non-coding RNA, 1123 nt
Filed under: Coffea arabica (coffee)
Lineage: Eukaryota; Viridiplantae; Streptophyta; Magnoliopsida; Gentianales; Rubiaceae
Description: long non-coding RNA (CARA_LNC006218)
Source: RNAcentral